UAAGCCUUUUUUUUUUCUGCUGUAAGUGGCGGUAGGGAGGUCGUCUCCCCCUUCUCAGUCAAUGGAUGUCCCUCCCUACCGGCGAGAAUGGUUGUAAAUAGGUUUUGAUGGUGGGCAUCAAAUAGUGAAUGGAGAGGAUUUCUUUCCUUAAGCUGCCCUUGUGAUGUAGUCUUGUGAUCUUUGUUUCUUUGAUUUACCUUGGUUUGGGUUCUCUUUGGUUUUGUUGUUGCAAAUCUUGUGGCGAAAAGGGGUGAAUUUGUUCAUAUCUGUUUUGUUGUGAGUCUCUUUGGCUGCUUGAGCACUGCUAUGGACUAGGCAGGAGAGAGUUUUUUCUGUUGGGUGUGUAAGGAGGCAACAUCCCCAAGGUUUGAAGAGUUAGCUAUCCACCAAAUUGACUAUUAAUGAUAUGAAAAUUAAAAAUGUUUAAUUUCUAUUGAUUGUAAGGCAUAUCGUAUGGUAUGAUAUAUUGAUUGUAAAAUAUAUUUGAUUGUAAGGCAUUUUUAAUAUUUGUAUAUUCUAUCUUUUACCUUUUAUUUGAAUUGAGUGUAUCGUAUCGUGUUUUAUUA
RNAcentral lists this unclassified non-coding RNA (566 nucleotides) under Hevea brasiliensis (rubber tree). Lineage: Eukaryota; Viridiplantae; Streptophyta; Magnoliopsida; Malpighiales; Euphorbiaceae. The record is from RNAcentral.